This 295-nucleotide small RNA is filed under the name Arabidopsis thaliana (thale cress). RNAcentral's name for it is "ATSL098160". The record is from RNAcentral. Lineage: Eukaryota; Viridiplantae; Streptophyta; Magnoliopsida; Brassicales; Brassicaceae.
GAUGAGACCAUUUUCGUAUAUCCUGACCACCACAAUGUUAUUAGAGCAAAAACGAUAAGCCGGACAGUUUGGCACGAUUAAUUCGUAUAUCUUUCGGUUGUUCCAUUUGUUGACAUUUCUAGGCAAGUGAUUCUAGCUCAAAGGAGGUUUAUUUAGAAGAAAGAAAAGCAAAAACGAUAAGCCGGACAGUUUGGCACGAUUAAUUCGUACCGAACCGCAUCAUAUCACUUUUGUAAAUAAUUUUCCUCAGAAUUGGUUCUACUGAACUCUAAAUAAAAUCUGAUGACAAAAAAAA